CAGCAGCCACGGGAAUACGAAGGGUGCAAGCGUUACUCGGAAUUACUGGGCGUAAAGCGUGCGUAGGUGGUGGUUUAAGUCUGCUGUGAAAGCCCUGGGCUCAACCUGGGAAUUGCAGUGGAUACUGGAUCACUAGAGUGUGGUAGAGAGAUGCGGAAUUUCUGGUGUAGCAGUGAAAUGCGUAGAGAUCAGAAGGAACAUCCGUGGCGAAGGCGGCAUCCUGGGCCAACACUGACACUGAGGCACGAAAGCGUGGGGAGCAAACAGGAUUAGAUACCCCCGUAGUCCCUGUCUCUUAUAC
This 301-nucleotide ribosomal RNA is filed under the name uncultured bacterium. Its description in RNAcentral is "partial 16S ribosomal RNA". It matches the Rfam family "Bacterial small subunit ribosomal RNA", at positions 509 to 807 of the family's 1533-position model. The record is from RNAcentral.